GAUGAACGCUGGCGGCGUGCCUAAUACAUGCAAGUCGAGCGAACAGACGAGGAGCUUGCUCCUCUGACGUUAGCGGCGGACGGGUGAGUAACACGUGGAUAACCUACCUAUAAGACUGGGAUAACUUCGGGAAACCGGAGCUAAUACCGGAUAAUAUAUUGAACCGCAUGGUUCAAUAGUGAAAGACGGUUUUGCUGUCACUUAUAGAUGGAUCCGCGCCGCAUUAGCUAGUUGGUAAGGUAACGGCUUACAAAGGCAACGAUGCGUAGCCGACCUGAGAGGGUGGUCGGGCACACUGGAACUGAAACACGGGCCAGACUACUACGGGAGGCAGCAGUAGGGAAACUUACGCAAUGGGCGAAAGCCUGACGGAGCAACGCCGAGUGAGUGAUGAAGGUCUUCGGAUCGUAAAACUCUGUUAUUAGGGAAGAACAAAUGUGUAAGUAACUAUGCACGUCUUGACGGUACCUAAUCAGAAAGCCACGGCUAACUACGUG
RNAcentral lists this ribosomal RNA (497 nucleotides) under uncultured bacterium. RNAcentral describes it as "partial 16S ribosomal RNA". It matches the Rfam family "Bacterial small subunit ribosomal RNA", at positions 28 to 507 of the family's 1533-position model. The record is from RNAcentral.